CAUACAGCUCCACAUCAAUUAUUAUGAGUCUUGUUGGUUCGAACCCAAAGGUCCCACACCAACCAUAGUGUUCAACGGCUCUCCUGAUCUUCUCAAAUCUGAAAGUAUCAACUUUAUAAUGGACAAUGUGAACUUAAUAUGUGGAAGACAUUGACAUCACAGGCUGUGGAAUGACUGUGUCACAGGUCGGAGAAGCGGACCACCCCUGUCGUGGAUCACGCUCCUCCUAGUUCCACCUCGAGGAGGUCCCAAAGCACCCCAAUGACCAGACAAACCAGAGAUAAGUAAAAUAUAGAAAUAGAAACUUUAUUUAAAUUAUUUAAAACUAAAGUGGGGAAUGGGAAAGGGAAUCUAAAAAUCUCGCUUCUCGCCCUCAGGGGGAGUAUUACGGGGCCAGGGACGUUGGAGGGGUUUCCACGUGACUCCAGGUGGAACACCGCUACAGAGCGUGUCUGGGUGGGUUGGGCACACACCGUCGUGGCGGCCCCUGAUGGCAUCCACAAAGGUCCAAGACCCUCCUAAGCUUCUAGCCGUAGCAGAACUACGUAUUUCAGCACCCGAAGGACUAACAACCCAGCCGGCAUCUGCAGCGUAUAUCCAACCUGAUCAAACUUCACUCUGACAAGUAACUUCCUAUACACAACCACGCCGUCCUUUCGCCCGGACCAGCCCCGCACUCUUUCCGCCCGCUACCUAGCGGUCGCCGGAUCAGCAGAGGCUGCGGACUCUUCGGAGGCUGGUCUUCGUUGUGCUGCCCAAGUUGACUCGCCAGAAAAUCGACCCUUCCAGUAACUUCUACCUUCUCUCUUUAUAUCCUCCUCCAUGGCGUGGCUCGCCCAACCAUCGCUCGCCACGUCACUCACACAGCUGUGCCUUGUUUCAGCGAGUGCGGGGAUUCACGGGGAACCCGGAAGUGCCGGUGUCUGUACAAACCGGUCCGGGCGGAACCUCUUCACUCUCGCCCCGCCCCGCAUAGUCACUCCGUGACAACUGUUUGCGUUUUUUUUUUCCUCAAUGUUCAAUACCCUUUUGCCAUUAAGCACACAGUGACUUUAAUUUAUAAAAUAUAUGCUUAAGUUUUAAUACCUGUACAAAACAAAUGUACAAUCAACUUGUGUAAAUUGUCAUUCUAUUUAAUAGAUUGUUCAUGAAUUGUCUUUAAAUGCAUUGUGAUUUCGGUAACACUUUACAAUAAAGUUCAUUAGUUAACAUUAGUUAAUGUAUUAACUAACUUGAACAAACCAUAAGCAAUACAUUUGUUACAGUAUUUAUUCAUCUUUGUUAAUGUUAGUUAAUAAAAAUUUAAGCUUUAAUUGCUUGUUCAUGUUAGUUCAGAGUGCAUUAACUAAUGUUAACAAGAUUUUAAUAAAUUAUUAGUAAUUGUUGAAAUUAACAUUAACAAAGAUUAAUAAAGGCUGUAUAAGUGCAGUUCAUUAUUAGUUCAUGUUAACUAAUGUAGCUAACUAAUGUUAACUAAUGAACCUUAUUGUAAAGUGUUACCGUGAUUUCUUUUCAUCAUUUCAGACACAUGUAAAAGUUACUAAAAAUUUGUACUGCAUAUACUGUACAGUAUCUAUGCGUAAGGGAAAUAACUUGAACACAUUUUUUAAUGUAUAGUGUAAUUAAGAGUUUAGCUGUUUAAUACAGAGAUGCAAUUUAUUUAUAUAUAUUAUUUAUAUAUAAACGUAUGUAUGUUUAUUAAAAAGUGAAAAUGCUUAAUGGAAAUAAUUAAAUAACUAAAUGGUUGAA
Molecule: non-coding RNA, 1749 nt
Organism: Misgurnus anguillicaudatus (oriental weatherfish)
Lineage: Eukaryota; Metazoa; Chordata; Actinopteri; Cypriniformes; Cobitidae
Source: RefSeq, a predicted model, not a curated record